GAUGAACGCUGGCGGCGUGCCUAAUACAUGCAAGUCGAGCGAACAGACGAGGAGCUUGCUCCUCUGACGUUAGCGGCGGACGGGUGAGUAACACGUGGAUAACCUACCUAUAAGACUGGGAUAACUUCGGGAAACCGGAGCUAAUACCGGAUAAUAUAUUGAACCGCAUGGUUCAAUAGUGAAAGACGGUUUUGCUGUCACUUAUAGAUGGAUCCGCGCCGCAUUAGCUAGUUGGUAAGGUAACGGCUUACCAAGGCAACGAUGCGUAGCCGACCUGAGAGGGUGAACGGCCACACUGGAACUGAGACACGAUCCAGACUCCUACGGGAGGCAGCAGUAGGGAAUCUUCCGAAAUGGGCGAAAGCCUGACGGAGCAACGCCGCGUGGGUGAUGAAGGUCUUCGGAUCGUAGAACUCUGUUAUUAGGGAAGAACAAAUGUUUAAGUAACUAUGAACGUCUUGACGGUACCUAAUCAGAAAGACACGGCUAACUACGUG
RNAcentral lists this ribosomal RNA (497 nucleotides) under uncultured bacterium. RNAcentral's name for it is "partial 16S ribosomal RNA". It matches the Rfam family "Bacterial small subunit ribosomal RNA", at positions 28 to 507 of the family's 1533-position model. The record is from RNAcentral.